UACGUAGGUCGCAAGCGUUGUCCGGAUUUACUGGGCGUAAAGAGCGCGCAGGCGGCUGGUCAAGUCCGAUGUGAAAUCUCCCGGCUCAACUGGGAAACUGCAUCGGAAACUGAUCGGCUUGAAGAUGGGAGAGGGUAGUGGAAUUCCCGGUGUAGUGGUGAAAUGCGUAGAUAUCGGGAGGAACACCAGUGGCGAAGGCGACUACCUGGCCCAUUCUUGACGCUGAGGCGCGAAAGCUAGGGGAGCGAGCGGG
This 253-nucleotide ribosomal RNA is filed under the name uncultured bacterium. Its description in RNAcentral is "partial 16S ribosomal RNA". It matches the Rfam family "Bacterial small subunit ribosomal RNA", at positions 524 to 776 of the family's 1533-position model. The record is from RNAcentral.